Harmonia axyridis is the source of this 965-nucleotide long non-coding RNA. RefSeq lists it as uncharacterized. The transcript has 2 exons. The record is from RefSeq and is a predicted model, not a curated record. Lineage: Eukaryota; Metazoa; Arthropoda; Insecta; Coleoptera; Coccinellidae.
UAACAACAAAUGAGCCAAAUUUAUUACACUAUGUAUGCAUGAUAUAACUUAAGCACAUCAUAAAACUCUAGUAUUCUUUUGUUUGAUGUUACCAGAAUAUUUUAGUUAGACCUCUCUUAUUUUCUUAUUCGUGUUCAAUCUUCAGAAAUUCUACGAAAUAGAUUUAUUCUUAUUCUUAUUAUUAUAAUGAUAUUGGGGAUAAGUUUGCAAUAACUGCGCAGGAAUCUUUCAUAUUUUUAGAGGCUAGAUUAGAAGUAAUUUUAAUCCAUUUAGCUUAGAAAAGGUUGUGUAAAAAAAAGAAACGGAUUCCAGCAUCCCUCAUUCAAAGAUUAGAUAUACAAAAUAUAGGAAAAUACAAAAAUAUGGAGUAAAAAUAAAGUGUGUCCCGGGAAUAACUGUACCUACAUACUCUUAUCAGAGGUAGAAUGGGCCAAGUGGAGAACGAUUUAACUAUGAAAAAUUAAUUUCUGCCAUUCCUCAGAAAGCUACAGGGGUUUUCCAGAAAAUCAAGGAAAUACGAGUGAGAAACAAGGUGAAAGAUUUCACCAAUAUAAUAAAGUUAUGGAGGACCGCUACCAAGGAAGAUGGGACAUGCACAUGAUGACAGAUUACUGCUGGAGUUUAAAAAAGGACUGUUUGAAAAGCGUUCAAGAAUGUUGCGGAAAAGUAUUAUUUUUCAGUAAAAAGGUGGAACAAAAACACGUGUAGCACUAGACUAAUUGAUUUCGGCACAGAGGCAAAGUAAUUCACGGCCAUUUUAGUUUUUAAAAAAUCACGUCUUGCUACACAACUGUGUUAACUAUUGAUCACUUGUUUCACGAAAAAUUAAAAUGUUUGCUGAAUCACGCACCUGGGCCCAUAACCUAUUCUUUUUCAGUUAUGUAGUUCCAACAGUUGAGAGUGUAUUAAAGCAAUUAGUCUAGUGCUACACGUGUUUUUGUUCCACCUUUUUACCGAAAAAUAAU